This 390-nucleotide long non-coding RNA is filed under the name Medicago truncatula (barrel medic). RNAcentral's name for it is "long non-coding RNA (MTRU_LNC003856)". Lineage: Eukaryota; Viridiplantae; Streptophyta; Magnoliopsida; Fabales; Fabaceae. The record is from RNAcentral.
GCAAAAAUAAAGUACCUAAUGAAGUUGAAGAUUUCUUCUUUUUUCCUCCAAACCCUUUUUUUCCACCACCUAUUAUCCCUAAUCCACUUCAACCUCCACCUUUGAUUCCUAACCCUUUGCAACCACCACCUUUGAUUCCAAAUCCAUUUCAACCACCAAGUCCACCCUUGAUUCCUAAUCCAUUUCAACCACCAAGUCCACCACUUAUUCCAAAUCCAUUUCAACCUCCUCCAUCAAAUCCACCACUUAUUCCUAAUCCAUUUCAACCUCCCCCAGCAAGUCCUCCACCACUCAUUCCAAAUCCAUUUCAGCCUCCACCAUCAAGUCCACCACCAUCAUUUCCUUUUCCACCAAUAGUAAUACCAGGUUUAACUCCAUCACCACCGCCGC